AGAGUUUGAUCCUGGCUCAGGAUGAACGCUAGCGGCAGGCUUAACACAUGCAAGUCGAGGGGCAGCAUCAGUGCUUGCACUGGAUGGCGACCGGCGCACGGGUGAGUAACGCGUAUGCAACCUACCCAUAACCGGGGAAUAGCUUUCGGAAACGGAAAUUAAUACCCCAGACAUCUUAAUAUCGCAUGAUAUAAAGAUUCAAGCUCCGGCGGUUAUGGAUGGGCAUGCGUGCCAUUAGCUAGUUGGCGAGGUAACGGCUCACCAAGGCGAUGAUGGCUAGGGGGUCUUAAAGGAUGGUCCCCCACACUGGUACUGAGACACGGACCAGACUCCUACGGGAGGCAGCAGUGAGGAAUAUUGGGCAAUGGACGCAAGUCUGACCCAGCCAUGCCGCGUGCAGGAAGACGGCCCUACGGGUUGUAAACUGCUUUUGUAUGGGAAGAAAAAGCUCUACUAGUAGAGUACUGACGGUACCGUACGAAUAAGCAUCGGCUAACUCCGUGCCAGCAGCCGCGGUAAUACGGAGGAUGCGAGCGUUAUCCGGAUUUAUUAGGUUUAAAGGGUGUGUAGGCGGUAUUUUAAGUCAGUGGUGAAAUCUUUCAGCUUAACUGAGAAACUUGCCAUUGAUACUGGAAUACU
Molecule: ribosomal RNA, 639 nt
Filed under: uncultured bacterium
Lineage: Bacteria
Description: bacterial SSU rRNA
Rfam family: Bacterial small subunit ribosomal RNA
Source: RNAcentral